RNAcentral lists this ribosomal RNA (578 nucleotides) under uncultured bacterium. RNAcentral's name for it is "partial 16S ribosomal RNA". It matches the Rfam family "Bacterial small subunit ribosomal RNA", at positions 355 to 928 of the family's 1533-position model. The record is from RNAcentral.
UGGGGAAUCUUCCGCAAUGGACGAGAGUCUGACGGAGCAACGCCGCGUGAGUGAAGAAGGUUUUCGGAUCGUAAAACUCUGUCUUUUGGGGCGAACGUGAGUAUGGUGAACAAUCAUAGUCAGUGACGGUACCAAAGGAGGAAGCCACGGCUAACUACGUGCCAGCAGCCGCGGUAAUACGUAGUGGCAAGCGUGUCCGGAAUUAUUGGCGUAAAGAGCGCGUAGGCGGGAUAGUCAGUCUGUUGUAAAGUGCGGGCUCAACCCCGUGAUGGCAAUGGAACAGCUAUUCUUGAGUGCAGGAGAGGAAAGUGGAAUUCCCAGUGUAGCGGUGAAAUGCGUAGAUAUUGGGAGGAACACCAGUGGCGAAGGCGACUUUCUGGGCUGUGUCUGACGCUGAGGCGCGAAAGCCAGGGGAGCGAACGGGAUUAGAUACCCCGGUAGUCCUGGCCGUAAACGAUGGGUACUAGGUGUGGGAGGUAUCGACCCCCUUCCGUGCCGGAGUUAACGCAAUAAGUACCCCGCCUGGGGAGUACGGUCGCAAGACUGAAACUCAAAUGAAUUGACGGGGGUCAUAGCUG